RNAcentral lists this RNase P RNA (344 nucleotides) under Acholeplasmataceae bacterium. RNAcentral describes it as "RNase P RNA component class B". It matches the Rfam family "Bacterial RNase P class B". From Rfam's summary of the family: Ribonuclease P (RNase P) is a ubiquitous endoribonuclease, found in archaea, bacteria and eukarya as well as chloroplasts and mitochondria. Its best characterised activity is the generation of mature 5'-ends of tRNAs by cleaving the 5'-leader elements of precursor-tRNAs. Cellular RNase Ps are ribonucleoproteins. Lineage: Bacteria; Bacillati; Mycoplasmatota; Mollicutes; Acholeplasmatales; Acholeplasmataceae. The record is from RNAcentral.
AAUGGAAGUUGAUCGAGCUAGUAUUUUUACUAGUUAGGAAAGUCCAUACUAGCACACUCUGUGAUGAGUGUAGUGAUUGUGCUUAAGGAAAAAAUAACUUAAGGCACCAAUUGGUGACGGCCUUUAAUACUUCUAAGGUUUAUACUAUGAAGGAUUAAAGAUAAAGUGCCACAGAGACGAACUGUUAUAGAAAUAUAACAGGUGAAACGCGGUAAACCCCACAAGCUAGCAACCCAAAUUUUGGUAGGGGCACAUUCUAAAAGCAAAACGAAGCUUUUAGUUUGCUACAAACGUAGAGAUAAAUGAUCAUACUCUUUUAAAGAGACAGAAUAUGGCUUAUGCAC